This 253-nucleotide non-coding RNA is filed under the name uncultured bacterium. Its description in RNAcentral is "partial 16S ribosomal RNA". It matches the Rfam family "Bacterial small subunit ribosomal RNA", at positions 524 to 776 of the family's 1533-position model. RNAcentral also lists the same sequence under 1 other name. The record is from RNAcentral.
UACAGAGGGUGCAAGCGUUAAUCGGAAUUACUGGGCGUAAAGGGUGCGUAGGUGGCUGAAUAAGUUAGGUGUGAAAGUCCUGGGCUUAACCUGGGGACUGCGCCUAAUACUGUUUAGCUAGAGUACUGUAGAGGAAGGUGGAAUUUCCAGUGUAGCGGUGAAAUGCGUAGAUAUUGGAAGGAACAUCUGUGGCGAAGGCGACCUUCUGGACAGAUACUGACACUGAGGCACGAAAGCGUGGGGAGCAAACAGG